GAAGGAUCAAUGAUGCAUAAGUUUAAAACUGCGUUAUCUAUCUGAUAUUUCCAAUUCGAAAUCGAAGAUACUUUUUUAGCUUCUGAGAUCCUUC
Molecule: small nucleolar RNA, 94 nt
Organism: Salvia hispanica
Lineage: Eukaryota; Viridiplantae; Streptophyta; Magnoliopsida; Lamiales; Lamiaceae
Product: small nucleolar RNA snoR27
Source: RefSeq, a predicted model, not a curated record